AAGAAGCAUUUAAGCAGGUAAAUGGAUAGGGGAGGUUUAGAAGGACACGGGGCUAAUGCAGGCAGAUGGGACUAGUGUAGAUGGGGCAUGUUGGUCGGCAUGGGUAAUUUGGGCGAAAUGGCCUGUUUCCAUGCAGUGUGACUCUAUGACUAACUCAGGACAGUCCAGGCAAAUGAAUUAUUACACCCAGCUCUUGUGCCAGCAAGCUUUUUCAUUCUACCUAAUCUCCAUUCUUUUUACUCCAGUCCAGUUCCUUUCCACUUACAAACAUGAUCAUUCAGAAGUCCU
Molecule: long non-coding RNA, 288 nt
Organism: Amblyraja radiata (thorny skate)
Lineage: Eukaryota; Metazoa; Chordata; Chondrichthyes; Rajiformes; Rajidae
Exons: 3
Source: RefSeq, a predicted model, not a curated record